RNAcentral lists this ribosomal RNA (128 nucleotides) under uncultured eukaryote. Its description in RNAcentral is "partial small subunit ribosomal RNA". It matches the Rfam family "Eukaryotic small subunit ribosomal RNA", at positions 1651 to 1778 of the family's 1831-position model. The record is from RNAcentral.
CCCUGCCAUUUGUACACACCGCCCGUCGCUCCUACCGAUUGAAUGGUCCGGUGAAUUCUUCGGAUUGUGCGCAGCAAUGUUUCGACGGAGCUGUGCGUGAGAAGUUGAAUAAACCUUAUCAUUUAGAG